RNAcentral lists this ribosomal RNA (255 nucleotides) under uncultured bacterium. Its description in RNAcentral is "partial 16S ribosomal RNA". It matches the Rfam family "Bacterial small subunit ribosomal RNA", at positions 524 to 776 of the family's 1533-position model. The record is from RNAcentral.
GACGAACCGUGCGAACGUUAUUCGGAAUCACUGGGCUUAAAGCGCGUGUAGGCGGGUGGGAACGUCGGCCGCUGAAAUCCCCCGGCUCAACCGGGGAAGGGGCGCCGAAACGGCCCGCCUGGAGGGACGUAGGGGGAGCUGGAACUUCCGGUGGAGCGGUGAAAUGCGUUGAGAUCGGAAGGAACGCCCGUGGCGAAAGCGAGCUCCUGGACGUUUUCUGACGCUGAGACGCGAAAGCCAGGGGAGCGUAACGGG